CCCAAACCGACACAGGUGGUCAGGUAGAGAAUACCAAGGCGCUUGAGAGAACUCGGGUGAAGGAACUAGGCAAAAUGGUGCCGUAACUUCGGGAGAAGGCACGCUGACACGUAGGUGAAGUGGUUUACCCAUGGAGCUGAAGUCAGUCGAAGAUACCAGCUGGCUGCAACUGUUUAUUAAAAACACAGCACUGUGCAAACACGAAAGUGGACGUAUACGGUGUGACGCCUGCCCGGUGCCGGAAGGUUAAUUGAUGGGGUCAGCGCAAGCGAAGCUCCUGAUCGAAGCCCCGGUAAACGGCGGCCGUAACUAUAACGGUCCUAAGGUAGCGAAAUUCCUUGUCGGGUAAGUUCCGACCUGCACGAAUGGCGUAAUGAUGGCCAGGCUGUCUCCACCCGGGACUCAGUGAAAUUGAACUCGCUGUGAAGAUGCAGUGUACCCGCGGCAAGACGGAAAGACCCCGUGAACCUUUACUAUAGCUUGACACUGAACACUGGUCCUUGAUGUGCAGGAUAGGUGGGAGGCUUUGAAGUGUGGACGCCAGUCUGCAUGGAGCCAUCCUUGAAAUACCACCCUUUAAUGGCUGGUGUUCUAACGUGGGCCCGUGAACCGGGUUGCGGACAGUGUCUGGUGGGUAGUUUGACUGGGGCGGUCUCCUCCUAAAGAGUAACGGAGGAGCACGAAGGUUGGCUAAUCCUGGUCGGACAUCAGGAGGUUAGUGCAAUGGCAUAAGCCAGCUUGACUGCGAGCGUGACGGCGCGAGCAGGUGCGAAAGCAGGUCAUAGUGAUCCGGUGGUUCUGAAUGGAAGGGCCAUCGCUCAACGGAUAAAAGGUACUCCGGGGAUAACAGGCUGAUACCGCCCAAGAGUUCAUAUCGACGGCGGUGUUUGGCACCUCGAUGUCGGCUCAUCACAUCCUGGGGCUGAAGUAGGUCCCAAGGGUAUGGCUGUUCGCCAUUUAAAGUGGUACGCGAGCUGGGUUUAGAACGUCGUGAGACAGUUCGGUCCCUAUCUGCCGUGGGCGCUGGAAGAUUGAGGGGGGCUGCUCCUAGUACGAGAGGACCGGAGUGGACGCAUCACUGGUGUUCGGGUUGUCAUGCCAAUGGCACUGCCCGGUAGCUACAUGCGGAAGAGAUAAGUGCUGAAAGCAUCUAAGCACGAAACUUGCCCCGAGAUGAAUCUUCCCUGAGCCUUUAAGGCUCCUGAAGGAACGUUGAAGACGACGACGUUGAUAGGCCGGGUGUGUAAGCGCAGCGAUGCGUUGAGCUAACCGGUACUAAUGAACCGUGAGGCUUAACCUUACAAC
This 1305-nucleotide ribosomal RNA is filed under the name Salmonella enterica. RNAcentral describes it as "partial 23S ribosomal RNA". It matches the Rfam family "Bacterial large subunit ribosomal RNA", at positions 1648 to 2925 of the family's 2925-position model. The record is from RNAcentral. Lineage: Bacteria; Pseudomonadati; Pseudomonadota; Gammaproteobacteria; Enterobacterales; Enterobacteriaceae.